CGGAUCAGCUUCCAUCCAGAGUCCCUGAAGAAACUCAGAAACCCAACGCACCUCUCUAGAAUGGCUCUGAAGAACUACUACCAGGAUAGCCAGUCCCGAGCCCUUGCCUCCUGCCUAAGAAGUACCUACUCUCUGCAAAUGAGAGUGGAAUCAGGCGGCUCAGAAUCCUGCCUCCCACCUGGGGGAGCUCUGAGAACCAAAUGAGGCAAUCCAUGGAUGCAGGCUGGACUUGAUCUGAACAAAUCUGUCCCUGGAUACAUUCAGUCAACAAAAAGGUCUGGGGAGAUCCCUAAAGCUUUAGAAAUGGUUACCUGAAAGACAACCAUAAAAAGAGCCCUGAAAGACAUCUGUAA
Odocoileus virginianus texanus is the source of this 353-nucleotide long non-coding RNA. RefSeq lists it as uncharacterized. Lineage: Eukaryota; Metazoa; Chordata; Mammalia; Artiodactyla; Cervidae. The record is from RefSeq and is a predicted model, not a curated record.